UACGGAGGGUGCAAGCGUUAUCCGGAUUUACUGGGUUUAAAGGGUGCGUAGGUGGAUAAGAAAGUCAGUGGUGAAAUCUCCGGGCUUAACCCGGAAACUGCCAUUGAUACUAUUUAUCUUGAAUACUUUGGAGGUAAGCGGAAUAUGUCAUGUAGCGGUGAAAUGCUUAGAUAUGACAUAGAACACCAAUUGCGAAGGCAGCUUACUACACAGUUAUUGACACUGAGGCACGAAAGCGUGGGGAUCAAACAGG
This 253-nucleotide ribosomal RNA is filed under the name uncultured bacterium. Its description in RNAcentral is "partial 16S ribosomal RNA". It matches the Rfam family "Bacterial small subunit ribosomal RNA", at positions 524 to 776 of the family's 1533-position model. The record is from RNAcentral. RNAcentral also lists the same sequence under 1 other name.